Molecule: long non-coding RNA, 1100 nt
Organism: Vigna angularis (adzuki bean)
Lineage: Eukaryota; Viridiplantae; Streptophyta; Magnoliopsida; Fabales; Fabaceae
Exons: 3
Source: RefSeq, a predicted model, not a curated record
CAGAGUUUUUGUUAUUUCUCUUUUGUACAUUCUAUUUAUCUUGCUUUCAUGCACAAAUGACUGAGUAUGAUGAGUAUGGCACACCUCUGGACCGUGAAACAUUUAUGAAAGAGCUUGAGAAUUUCUACAGAUAGCGGUCCUUGGAAUUUAAGCCUCCUAAGUUUUACGAAGAGCCUCUAAAUUACCUUAAGUAUGUAUAAUAUCCCCUGUGAUGCAAGGGUGUAACCCCUUUCUCAUAAGCAUUCUAAAGGCUAGUUUAAGUUGGCCUGACCUCCUUGAUAUUUGAAUGUGUUAUUACAUUGUUCUGAUAGUGGAUCCCUUACUUUUCAACUGGCUGCAGGUUGUGGAGAGCUGUUAUCAGACUGGGUUCCUAUGAUGUGGUAUGGACUUGUCUUACAUGUUAUUUUUGACAGAUCAUCUCUUUGAAUAGUUCUAGGCCAUGGCUGUAAUUCUUGCAUUACUUUUCUUACUUCAAACUCAAGGUUGUUGUUAAUGUUAUUUCUAAUAGCUUCAUCCCGUUCAUAUCUUGCGUAGGAUAAAAGGGCCGUUUAAAUGAACCAAAUGUUUGCAUCACAUGGACUAACCCUAAUUGAUCUAGUUGCUCUAUCAGGUAUUUCAAGCAAUUGGUGCUGUCAGAGGAUUUCUAAGACCAUAUUCUCUUAUCGCAAUUAUAUUUAUUUACAUAUCCCUGUAUAGAAGGGUCUCCAACAACAUUUAAAUCACAUUCUGGUAGAUUGGGUCACCUGUGCAUCAAUCUUGUUUUCAUUCUUCUUAUCCUAACAUAAUUAUAUGGCAUCUAAUGGUCCUAAUCCACCUCCUCCACUCUAGGCACAAUCUAAUAAGGAGAAGGGAAAAAACAACGUGAAGUUGUUAUCACGGUGAUGGAGUGCAACGACAAUGUCAAUCCAAGAUGAACAAAAUUCGUAGUGAUUAUUAGGAAAUUAUAGACUUGUCAGUCUAUGUUGUUUGACAUUUUAUGAAUUGUAGAAUUUAUAUUGUUUGAGAUCUUAGGAACUGCACAAUCUAUUUAUGAAUAUUAGACAUUUUGUAAACUUAUUUGAUAAUGAUUUUUAAGUAAUAUAUAUCUAUUUUUAGUGUGA